Molecule: transfer RNA, 82 nt
Filed under: bacterium
Lineage: Bacteria
Description: tRNA-Leu
Rfam family: tRNA
About the family: Transfer RNA (tRNA) molecules are approximately 80 nucleotides in length. Their secondary structure includes four short double-helical elements and three loops (D, anti-codon, and T loops).
Source: RNAcentral
GCCGAAGUGGCGAAAUUGGCAGACGCACCAGGUUUAGGACCUGGCGGGGAAACCCAUGAGAGUUCAAAUCUCUCCUUCGGCA